UACGAAGGGGGCUAGCGUUGCUCGGAAUCACUGGGCGUAAAGCGCACGUAGGCGGUUUGCUAAGUCAGGGGUGAAAUCCUGGAGCUCAACUCCAGAACUGCCCUUGAUACUGGCGGCCUUGAGUCCGGGAGAGGUGAGUGGAACUGCGAGUGUAGAGGUGAAAUUCGUAGAUAUUCGCAAGAACACCAGUGGCGAAGGCGGCUCACUGGCCCGGUACUGACGCUGAGGUGCGAAAGCGUGGGGAGCAAACAGG
Molecule: ribosomal RNA, 253 nt
Filed under: uncultured bacterium
Lineage: Bacteria
Description: partial 16S ribosomal RNA
Rfam family: Bacterial small subunit ribosomal RNA
Source: RNAcentral